GCAGGUCAAACUCAUCGAAUUCCCGCGGCCGCCAGAAGCUUGCUACGUCGAGCCCUUCGGACUAGUGAGUAGCCUAGGAAUCUGCCUGGUAGUGGGGGAUAACGUUCGGAAACGGACGCUAAUACCGCAUACGUCCUACGGGAGAAAGCAGGGGACCUUCGGGCCUUGCGCUAUCAGAUGAGCCUAGGUCGGAUUAGCUAGUUGGUGGGGUAAUGGCUCACCAAGGCGACGAUCCGUAACUGGUCUGAGAGGAUGAUCAGUCACACUGGAACUGAGACACGGUCCAGACUCCUACGGGAGGCAGCAGUGGGGAAUAUUGGACAAUGGGCGAAAGCCUGAUCCAGCCAUGCCGCGUGUGUGAAGAAGGUCUUCGGAUUGUAAGCAUUUAAGUUGGGAGCACGGGCAUAUGGUAAUACUUUGCUGCCUUGACGUUACCACAGAUAAGCACCGGCUAACUCUGUGCCAGCAGCUAAUACGAAUCGAAUUCCCGCGGCCGCCAUGGCGGCCGGGAGC
RNAcentral lists this ribosomal RNA (513 nucleotides) under uncultured Gammaproteobacteria bacterium. Its description in RNAcentral is "bacterial SSU rRNA". It matches the Rfam family "Bacterial small subunit ribosomal RNA", at positions 42 to 518 of the family's 1533-position model. The record is from RNAcentral. Lineage: Bacteria; Pseudomonadati; Pseudomonadota; Gammaproteobacteria.